Long non-coding RNA from Brassica napus (rape), 564 nucleotides. RefSeq lists it as uncharacterized. The record is from RefSeq and is a predicted model, not a curated record. The transcript is spliced from 3 exons. Lineage: Eukaryota; Viridiplantae; Streptophyta; Magnoliopsida; Brassicales; Brassicaceae.
UGCAGAGGUACCGUGUCGAGCUAUCAGUUGAUGACGGCAACGAUAAUGCUAUGUUUGUGGUCUUCGACAUGGAGAAAACUAAGCUCGCUAAGAGAGAUGCUGCUGAUCUGGGUGGGUCAUGAGCUAUGAAUGGCGUUGGAGGGCAGGAACUACCGACAUGUCUUGAAGAGCUUGCUAGAAAGGAAUAAUACGUGUCACUUCAUACAUUUUCACAUCAAACCAUCAGAGUAGCAGCAACAACCAAGCCCCAGUUGUUGAAGGGGAAGGUGGAGAAACAGCUGCAUCUGCCAGCAACACUGCUGCAGCAGGAGACGAUGAACCAAAUCCUCCCGGUUUUGAAGCGAUAGAGAAUAGUCGCAAACGCACGUGUGAGUGAUAGUUCCAAGCCCGUCCUGCUGUCAACCCCACUUAGCUUUCGUCUGUUUCGAAUUUCCUAACUUGCUAUGAUUUGAAUCGAUUAUAUAUGAUUUUCAACUUUGAUUUUUCUCUUAAAUUUCUGGCUAAGUCUCUCCCACAAAGAGGACAAUUACUAAUUUUUUAUAUUAAAAAGGCAGUGUUGAGUCU